Non-coding RNA from Mycena vulgaris, 89 nucleotides. Lineage: Eukaryota; Fungi; Basidiomycota; Agaricomycetes; Agaricales; Mycenaceae. The record is from the annotation of a GenBank genome assembly.
UCGGACGUGGUGCAGGGUGUACGCCCGCUCAUGUUGUGGCAGCACUGUAUGAACGGCGAGAAACCCGGGUUCGACUUCCGGCGUCCGAA